GACGAACGCUGGCGGCGUGCUUAACACAUGCAAGUCGAACGGUAAGGCCCUUCGGGGUACACGAGUGGCGAACGGGUGAGUAACACGUGGGUGAUCUGCCCUGCACUUCGGGAUAAGCCUGGGAAACUGGGUCUAAUACCGGAUAGGACCACUGCCUGCAUGGGUGGUGGUGGAAAGCUUUUGCGGUGUGGGAUGGGCCCGCGGCCUAUCAGCUUGUUGGUGGGGUGAUGGCCUACCAAGGCGACGACGGGUAGCCGGCCUGAGAGGGUGACCGGCCACACUGGGACUGAGGUACGGCCCAGACUCCUACGGGAGGCAGCAGUGGGGAAUAUUGCACAAUGGGCGCAAGCCUGAUGCAGCGACGCCGCGUGAGGGAUGACGGCCUUCGGGUUGUAAACCUCUUUCAGCAGGGACGAAGCGAGAGUGACGGUACCUGCAGAAGAAGGACCGGCCAACUACGUGCCAGCCGCCGCCGUAA
This 478-nucleotide ribosomal RNA is filed under the name uncultured bacterium. RNAcentral's name for it is "partial 16S ribosomal RNA". It matches the Rfam family "Bacterial small subunit ribosomal RNA", at positions 28 to 523 of the family's 1533-position model. The record is from RNAcentral.